This 465-nucleotide ribosomal RNA is filed under the name uncultured bacterium. RNAcentral's name for it is "bacterial SSU rRNA". It matches the Rfam family "Bacterial small subunit ribosomal RNA", at positions 338 to 795 of the family's 1533-position model. The record is from RNAcentral.
CCUANGGGGGGCAGCAGUUAGGAAUCUUGGGCAAUGGGCGCAAGCCUGACCCAGCCAUGCCGCGUGUGUGAAGAAGGCCUUCGGGUUGUAAAGCACUUUCAGCGGUGAAGAAAAGCUCAGGCCUAAUACGCUUGAGUCUUGACGUUAACCACAGAAGAAGCACCGGCUAACUCCGUGCCAGCAGCCGCGGUAAUACGGAGGGUGCGAACGUUAAUCGGAAUCACUGGGCGUAAAGCGCGCGUAGGCGGUUUGUUAAGUGGGAUGUGAAAUCCCCGGGCUUAACCUGGGAAUUGCAUUUCAAACUGGCCGGCUAGAGUACGAUAGAGGGAGGUAGAAUUUCCUGUGUAGCGGUGAAAUGCGUAGAUAUAGGAAGGAAUACCAGUGGCGAAGGCGGCCUCCUGGAUCGAUACUGACGCUGAGGCGCGAAAGCGUGGGGAGCAAACAGGAUUAGAUACCCGANUANUC